Molecule: long non-coding RNA, 2709 nt
Filed under: Xyrichtys novacula (pearly razorfish)
Lineage: Eukaryota; Metazoa; Chordata; Actinopteri; Labriformes; Labridae
Source: RNAcentral
UUCAAAUCCGCAUACAGGUGGGAGGCAGAACCAAGUUGUCCAUAGUAUAUACAGUCUAUGAGUUUGACAAGGAAAGUGGCCAAUAAUUGUUUAGGUUGGGCAACUGUGUCCACCUCCUGGAUCCGCCCCUGCAGGGAUGUACCCAUUUCAUUUUUAUAAUUAGCCUUAUCCAUCCCAAAGCUUUUUGAUCUUUUGCCAACCAUUAUACCAAGUUUCACUCAACUCUAAGGGACUGAAAGCAUCAACAGUUCUUUUUUCCCUUUUUUUUUUUUUGGUGUUUUGUCGAAAUGAGUUCUGUCUCUCUGUGUAUGUACACCAUAAACAAGCCUCAGGGUCAGACCGGGGUUAUAUUUGUCUUUAAUAACUGAUUUCUCUCGCCCUGUUGCUUUUGUAGCCAAAAUAAUAACAAUAGAGGUGGUUCAGAUAGACACCGCACUGACUAACAGACUAGGAAGGCCAGGACGUCAUAACCUUCACGCCCCUCACAGAGUGUGAGCUCGCUUUAUUUAAAUCUCUGAGAUCAAAGCCUAAAAUGCAAAUUCCUACAGCUUCCACGCUGCCAUUUGAUGUUCAGGGGAGUCAAAUUAUUGUGGUGAUUACAGUAGCUGUACACAACUGGUGCAGCAGGCCAAACAAGGGUCCUUGUUGUGACUCUCAAUUAGUGGUGUGACAUCUCAGCAACCAACGUCUGAGAGGCAUCCUACAAUAAGCAAGGCUGUUUGGGCUGAUAAAGUGAUUUGGCUUGGUGGGGUCCUUUCAUCUGCACCAACAGAGGGGUAUUUGAGGCUUCUGGGUAUUCUCUCUGAACAUCCUCACACCUCCCCUCAUUGUGACAAUAGUGCCACUGUGUUAAAGGCCUCAAAGAGAGGCUGUAGGCCGACUGCACUGAAGAACUCCAGCUCAGUGGAUUGUCAUGUGGUACCAUGACUCAAAUACUUCCAAGAAGUACAGCAACGUGCAAAUACAAAUAUAAGAAAUACAACAAGCGAAACAUUAUCAUUAAAUGAAAGACAGUCAGGUGCAUUUUUAACAGCUUUUUUUGUUUUGUUUCACUUCAGCAGCAUUGUUCAGAACAGAUAUGAGUCGAUUAGCAGUAUUUCAGUGUUGUCUGAAUAUUCAAACAUGCAUCUUUCUCUUGUUUUUGUUUGUGUGUUAUUGACAGCCACUGUGAGUUGAAAGGAUAACUUUGCCAGGAGGAAGGACAGCGCAGCACAGGAUCAGGUUCAGCUGUAUUUCUGAUAACACUUUGCAUUCUGCAGGCAGCGGUGACAGCUCUGAUGCUUGGUGUUUGAUUGUCUUUCAUGUUUUUCUCCUGCCUUCAGUAUAAGCAGCAUAGCUGGGGUGGAGGUGAAAGGAUGGUGAGCGGACUACUGCAGAGGAGAGAGAUUGAGAUGUGAUAUGUUUCUGCAGAGGUGAUGGAUGGAGGCACUGGAAGGAUGUUGGUUUUCAGACACUCCAGGCUCUUACGUGUAGCAGAGUUGAAAAAAGCCCUGGUGGUACAAUACGUCCAGAACAAUUAUCAUCACCACAUGGAUCUGUUACUGAUGUUCUGGGAGAAAGAGGGCCGACUCAUUUUGAAGGGUGGUUUGAACCUUUAACCUCAGAGGGGAAGAUACAUGCUUGUUUUAUGAUGUUCUAGACCAGUAGUUCUCAAGUCCAGUCCUCGAGGCCCAAUGUCCUGCAUGUUUUGGAUGUUUCCCUGCUCCAACACACCUGAUUCAAAUUAUUAGCUCGUUAUUAAGCCAUUACAGAGCUUGAUAACGAGCUGAUCAUUUGAAUCAGGUGUGUUGGAGCAGGGAAACAUCCAAAACAUGCAGGACAGUGGGCCUCGAGGACUAGACUUGAGAACCGCUGUUCUAGACAAAAGGUCAGAGCAGAAAUCCAGGAAUAACCAGAUAACUUAAGGGAUAAAUUUGGAGAUGGUUCUUAUUUUUUAUCUUUUUGCAGCUGGCAUGAAAAACAGUCCAACAAUGAAUAUUUUUCUAAAUAUAGUCUGUGUAUAAAAAUAGAAUGUUAAAUAUGUGCAAAGGAGCUCUUUUGCACAGUAUAAGUUAGUAUAAGUAGUUUUUAUAAUUAGUUUCUGACUGUAUAGUAGUACAGAGAAUGCAGUCCAUUGGGAGUCCCAAACAUUUUUUUUUUUUCUCAGUUAGCAAAGAUCUUCAGACUCGAGGUCUCCAGGAAAGUACACAGCAUGUUUAAAUUAAAAGUCACAUUUCUUCAAGGUACAGUAUUUAGCAUAGAGCCGAAUAGGUUGGAUGAAUUUUAUUUUCAUGAGUAUAUUCAAUCAGUGUAAAACCACAAGGCCUAAAAAUUUGUUCUCAUUUCAUUACCUCAAACUAAGAGGGCAGGUACUCUUUCACAGAGGCUGCUAUCAUAUACUGCUAUGUUUCUACCGAUAAACAAACCUGAAACAGCCACUGUAUCAGCACUUCUGUAGUUAGUGAGAUUUUGUAGUUUGUAGUUUUUUGAUUCAGGAUAAUGAUUUAAAGUAAUAAAGACACUGUGAGUAUAAAUAAUGCAGCCAUUGAUUAACACCAGUCACUCUGUGGGUUGCUUAUUUUUAGAAAUAUAUAUUUACUUUACAAUUUGUCACUAAGUUAAAAUAAUGUUUAUUUACUUAACAUUGGACAAUUAUUUGAAAAUAAAAAGACAUGCUGUGAAGAUACAUUUCGAAACGGAAAUACUAAGCAAUGAAAUAAUCCCAUACUC